Macaca fascicularis (crab-eating macaque) is the source of this 147-nucleotide unclassified non-coding RNA. It matches the Rfam family "Metazoan signal recognition particle RNA". Rfam says of the family: The signal recognition particle (SRP) is a universally conserved ribonucleoprotein. It is involved in the co-translational targeting of proteins to membranes. The eukaryotic SRP consists of a 300-nucleotide 7S RNA and six proteins: SRPs 72, 68, 54, 19, 14, and 9. The record is from Ensembl. NCBI's taxonomy places the organism in Eukaryota, Metazoa, Chordata, Mammalia, Primates, Cercopithecidae.
GCCGGGUGUGGUGGCGGGCGCCUGUAAUCCCAGCUACUUGGGAGGCUGAGGCAGAGAAUUGCUUGAACCCGGGAGGUGGAGGUUGCAGUGAGCCGAGAUCAUGCCACUGCACUCCAGCCUGGGUGACAGAGUGAGACUUUGUCUCAA